Molecule: transfer RNA, 65 nt
Filed under: Dipodomys ordii (Ord's kangaroo rat)
Lineage: Eukaryota; Metazoa; Chordata; Mammalia; Rodentia; Heteromyidae
Rfam family: tRNA
About the family: Transfer RNA (tRNA) molecules are approximately 80 nucleotides in length. Their secondary structure includes four short double-helical elements and three loops (D, anti-codon, and T loops).
Source: Rfam by way of RNAcentral
GGUGGCUCAGUGGUAGAGUGCUUGCCUUACAUGCAUGAAGCCCUGGGUUAGUUUCCUCAGCACCA